Molecule: ribosomal RNA, 447 nt
Filed under: uncultured bacterium
Lineage: Bacteria
Description: partial 16S ribosomal RNA
Rfam family: Bacterial small subunit ribosomal RNA
Source: RNAcentral
AACGAACGCUGGCGGCAGGCUUAACACAUGCAAGUCGAGCGCGUAGCAAUACGAGUGGCAGACGGGUGAGUAACGCGUGGGAACAUACCCUUUCCUGCGGAAUAGCUCCGGGAAACUGGAAUUAAUACCGCAUACGCCCUACGGGGGAAAGAUUUAUCGGGGAAGGAUUGGCCCGCGUUGGAUUAGCUAGUUGGUGGGGUAAAGGCCUACCAAGGCGACGAUCCAUAGCUGGUCUGAGAGGAUGAUCAGCCACAUUGGGACUGAGACACGGCCCAAACUCCUACGGGAGGCAGCAGUGGGGAAUAUUGGACAAUGGGCGCAAGCCUGAUCCAGCCAUGCCGCGUGAGUGAUGAAGGCCUUAGGGUUGUAAAGCUCUUUCACCGAUGAAGAUAAUGACGGUAGUCGGAGAAGAAGCCCCGGCUAACUUCGUGCCAGCCGCCGCAGUAA